AUGAACGCUGGCGGCGUGCCUAAUACAUGCCAGUAGAACGCUGAAGGCGGAGCUUGCUCUUCUGGAUGAGUUGCGAACGGGUGAGUAACGCGUAGGUAACCUGCCUGGUAGCGGGGGAUAACUAUUGGAAACGAUAGCUAAUACCGCAUGACAACAGUUAUUGCAUGAUAACUGUUUAAAAGGGGCAACUGCUCCACUACCAGAUGGACCUGCGUUGUAUUAGCUAGUUGGUGAGGUAACGGCUCACCAAGGCGACGAUACAUAGCCGACCUGAGAGGGUGAUCGGCCACACUGGGACUGAGACACGGCCCAGACUCCUACGGGAGGCAGCAGUAGGGAAUCUUCGGCAAUGGACGGAAGUCUGACCGAGCAACGCCGCGUGAGUGAAGAAGGGUUUCGGAUCGUAAAGCUCUGUUGUAAGAGAAGAACGAGUGUGAGAGUGGAAAGUUCACACUGUGACGGUAUCUUACCAGAAAGGGACGGCUAACUACGUG
Molecule: ribosomal RNA, 494 nt
Filed under: uncultured bacterium
Lineage: Bacteria
Description: partial 16S ribosomal RNA
Rfam family: Bacterial small subunit ribosomal RNA
Source: RNAcentral